RNAcentral lists this ribosomal RNA (495 nucleotides) under uncultured bacterium. RNAcentral's name for it is "partial 16S ribosomal RNA". It matches the Rfam family "Bacterial small subunit ribosomal RNA", at positions 28 to 507 of the family's 1533-position model. The record is from RNAcentral.
GACGAACGCUGGCGGCGUGCCUAAUACAUGCAAGUAGAACGCUGAAGGAGGAGCUUGCUCUUCUGGAUGAGUUGCGAACGGGUGAGUAACGCGUAGGUAACCUGCCUGGUGGCGGGGGAUAACUAUUGGAAACGAUAGCUAAUACCGCAUAAGAGUAGAUGUUGCAUGACAUUUGCUUAAAAGGUGCAAUUGCAUCACUACCAGAUGGACCUGCGUUGUAUUAGCUAGUUGGUGGGGUAACGGCUCACCAAGGCGACGAUACAUAGCCGACCUGGGAGGGUGAUCGGCCACACUGGGACUGAGACACGGCCCAGACUCCUACGGGAGGCAGCAGUAGGGAAUCUUCGGCAAUGGACGGAAGUCUGACCGAGCAACGCCGCGUGAGUGAAGAAGGGUUUCGGAUCGUAAAGCUCUGUUGUAAGAGAAGAACGAGUGUGAGAGUGGAAAGUUCACACUGUGACGGUAUCUUACCAGAAAGGGACGGCUAACUACGUG